Molecule: RNA transcript, 1742 nt
Organism: Elaeis guineensis (African oil palm)
Lineage: Eukaryota; Viridiplantae; Streptophyta; Magnoliopsida; Arecales; Arecaceae
Gene name: phenylalanine--tRNA ligase, chloroplastic/mitochondrial
Source: RefSeq, a predicted model, not a curated record
GAUAAAUUUCUACGGCGGCUGUAGUCUUCUUUGUGGCUCUGCGAGCGUCGGUGGGAGACUCCGGGGGAAAAAUCCCAGCUUUUUUUGACCUCCGGAGUUAGAGGAUGCUUAUCCGAGUUCUCUCCAUCCAUCCCGCCCACGCCUUCCGAAUGGCGAUGCCUCUCUCCCACUCGCCCCUUCUCAAAUCUCCUUCCUAUCUCCUUCUUCGCCACCAUUCCUUCGCUCCUCCAUCUCUCUACCGCUUCCUCUCCUUCCGUUCCCUCUCUUCUCCUCUUUCUUCCCCCUUUUCCUCUCUCUCUUCCAACAGAUCCAGCAAGAAAUGGAAGCAGCCAAUCGCCGCUCUCCUCGAAAUCGGCGGCGUCAAGAUCGCCAAAGACGAUGUGGUAAAGGAGAAUGAUCCCACGAACAAUGUCCCGGACACAAUAUUUUCAAAGCUUGGGGUGGAGCUUCAUCGCCGAGAUAACCAUCCGAUUGGGAUUUUGAAAAAUGCCAUCUACGAUUACUUUGACACUAACUUCCCGGCUAAGUUUGUCAAAUUUGACGACUUAUGUCCCAUUGUUUCCAUCAAAGAGAAUUUUGACGAUGUACUGGUUCCUGCUGAUCAUAUAAGCAGGAGUUAUAAUGAUACAUAUUAUGUUGAUGCUCAGACUGUCUUGAGAUGCCAUACAAGUGCUCAUCAGGCAGAGUUAUUGAGGAAAGGGCAUUCCCAUUUUCUUGUAACUGGGGAUGUCUAUCGUAGGGACUCAAUUGACUCAACUCAUUAUCCUGUCUUUCAUCAGAUGGAAGGUGUUCGUGUCUUCUCCCCUGAUGACUGGGCGGGUUCUGGCAUGGAUGCUACAUCUUAUGUAGCCAUGGAUUUAAAGAAGUCUCUUGAGGGUUUGGCAAAGCAUCUUUUUGGUGCUGUGGACAUGCGCUGGGUUGAUACUUACUUUCCCUUCACUAAUCCAUCCUUUGAAUUGGAGAUAUUUUUUCAGGAGAAAUGGAUGGAAGUGUUGGGAUGCGGAGUGACAGAGCAGGAGAUUCUCAGAAGAAGUGGUAGAAUGGAUGGUGUUGCAUGGGCCUUUGGACUAGGGUUGGAACGACUUGCAAUGGUUCUCUUUGAUAUACCAGACAUUCGACUUUUUUGGUCAACUGAUCAGCGAUUUACAUCACAAGUACAUCUCCACCUGAUUUGCAGCUGUUUUCUGAGGGAAAACUUGGCAUCAAGUUCCAGCCAUUUUCAAAGUAUCCUCCCUGCUACAAAGAUAUGAGUUUCUGGAUCAGUGAUUCUUUUACUGAGAAUAAUUUAUGUGAAGUUGUUAGAGGAAUUGCUGGGGAUCUGGUGGAGGAGGUGCAGUUGAUCGAUAAUUUUACUAAUAAAAAGGGUAUGACCAGCCACUGUUACAGAAUUGCAUACAGGUCAAUGGAACGUUCACUCACAGACGAGGAGAUAAACCAACUGCAGGGGCGUGUUAGAGAAGCAGUGCAGAGUAAACUGAAUGUUGUUCUAAGAUAAGAUUUUAGCCCAGGAGGAAUCAAUUUUGUCAUUGUAAACUGUACAGACAUUAAUUUUAUACAAAUUGCAGUAAAAUUCUGCUAAUCAUGUUGUAUUCAGAUGUUCUUGAUGGUUCAAUUGGAAAGAAAGCACACAUGUAGGUAGCCAAAUGAGUUACAUUUCGUUAAGGGUUGACAUACUUAACCAUUAUGCUGUUUCUGUGUGCUGAUAUACUUAAUUAUAUAUUUAAGUUUAUAUCUGUUUCAUA